GACGAACCGUGCAAACGUUAUUCGGAAUCACUGGGCUUAAAGAGUCCGUAGGCGGCAUGUUAGGUGAGGUGUGAAAUCCCCCGGCUCAACCGAGGAAUUGCGCUUCAAACCGGCGUGCUUGAGGAAGAUAGAGGUGGGCGGAACUGAUGGUGGAGCGGUGAAAUGCGUUGAUAUCAUCAGGAACACCGGAGGCGAAGGCGGCCCACUGGGUCUUUUCUGACGCUGAGGGACGAAAGCUAGGGGAGCGAACGGG
RNAcentral lists this ribosomal RNA (253 nucleotides) under uncultured bacterium. Its description in RNAcentral is "partial 16S ribosomal RNA". It matches the Rfam family "Bacterial small subunit ribosomal RNA", at positions 524 to 776 of the family's 1533-position model. The record is from RNAcentral.